UGAGGAAUAUUGGUCAAUGGUCGCAAGACUGAACCAGCCAUGCCGCGUGCAGGAAGACGGUCCUAUGGAUUGUAAACUGCUUUUAUACAGGAAGAAACCCUCCCACGUGUGGGAGCUUGACGGUACUGUAGGAAUAAGGAUCGGCUAACUCCGUGCCAGCAGCCGCGGUAAUACGGAGGAUCCAAGCGUUAUCCGGAAUCAUUGGGUUUAAAGGGUCCGUAGGCGGUCUUAUAAGUCAGUGGUGAAAGCCCAUCGCUCAACGAUGGAACUGCCAUUGAUACUGUAAGACUUGAAUGCUUAGGAAGUAACUAGAAUAUGUAGUGUAGCGGUGAAAUGCUUAGAUAUUACAUGGAAUACCAAUUGCGAAGGCAGGUUACUACUAAGUGAUUGACGCUGAUGGACGAAAGCGUGGGGAGCGAACAGGAUUAGAUACCCUGGUAGUCCAACGCCGUAAAACGAUGGAUACUAGCUGUUCGGCGCAAGUUGAGUGGCUAAGCGAAAGUGAUAAGUAUCCCACCUGGGGAGUACGCACGCAAGUGUGAAACUCAAAGGAAUUGACGGGGUCAUAGCUGUUUCCUG
This 579-nucleotide ribosomal RNA is filed under the name uncultured bacterium. RNAcentral describes it as "partial 16S ribosomal RNA". It matches the Rfam family "Bacterial small subunit ribosomal RNA", at positions 355 to 1376 of the family's 1533-position model. The record is from RNAcentral.